Molecule: transfer RNA, 69 nt
Filed under: Ictidomys tridecemlineatus (thirteen-lined ground squirrel)
Lineage: Eukaryota; Metazoa; Chordata; Mammalia; Rodentia; Sciuridae
Description: Spermophilus tridecemlineatus (thirteen-lined ground squirrel) tRNA
Rfam family: tRNA
About the family: Transfer RNA (tRNA) molecules are approximately 80 nucleotides in length. Their secondary structure includes four short double-helical elements and three loops (D, anti-codon, and T loops).
Source: Rfam by way of RNAcentral
AGGGACAUAGCUCAGCAGUAGAGCACUUGCCUACCAUGUGCAAGGCCCUGGGUUCAAUCCCCAGCCCUG